RNAcentral lists this long non-coding RNA (2626 nucleotides) under Nicotiana benthamiana. RNAcentral's name for it is "long non-coding RNA (NBEN_LNC038085)". The record is from RNAcentral. Lineage: Eukaryota; Viridiplantae; Streptophyta; Magnoliopsida; Solanales; Solanaceae.
CCUAGCCUACUCCUAAUACAGUUUAGACUAGACUUCUAAUACAGUUAGACUUCUAACAGAGCCAUUGCUCGUUGGGGAACUAAAAUCUUCUCAACUUGGACAUAAAUCCUUCUAACUAUCUCAAUUUCUAUUGUCAGCGUAGCCAAGAAGAAUUACAUGGGGAACCAAUGCCAUGCUUUCUUAAUGGUGAUUUGGUAUCAAUCUUUUCCUAAUUAAGUCUGCUUGCUAAACUUUUGCUUACAAAUGCUUUAAAAUAAAUAUUAUUUUGUAUUUCUGCACAGAAUAUUCGCAUUUUUGGGCAACAUUCUGUAUUUUCGCAUAGUGUUUUGCUUUUCUGGACAGUGUUUCUGCAUUUAUGAAACCGUUCAUGCAUUUCUGUACAGUUUUGUGUCGUGUGCUUUAUUUUUGUUGUUAAGAUAAUAGCUAGAGCUUUAGAUAUUUGUGUGAGAAGAAAUUUUGAAAUUAGUGACAAGCAAGAUCAUGUGCUGCAAGCAUGUAAUAUAAGCACUGAUUCUUUUUUGGAUGUGGGAAUAUCUUGGCCAGUAUGCUAACCAUAAAAUAUCCAAUUUUCUUUUCUUUUCUCUUUUCAUUUUCAGAUCUACUAAAAGAAAAUUUCACCAAAUAUGGGGCCAUUGGUCUCCUUAUAUGGUUUUGGACAAUUUUCAUCUCUCGAGCUAGCUUUUAGGAUUGUGUUAGGCCCAUGGUUCUUUCUUUGUCAUAGUAUCGGAGUCAAGCCCAUACCAAUUCAUUGUUGCCAAUGCCCAUGUUGGGCCCCACAACAGAUGCCCAGUCCUGGGCAAUCGGGGNNNNNNNNNNNNNNNNNNGGGGGGGGGGGGGGGGGGGGGGGGGGGGGGGUUGAUAUUGCCACAUUGGAUGGGGAUAGGGCCAUUGAUCUCCUUAUAAGUCUUGGGCAAUUCUCAUCUCUCGAGCUAGCUUUUGGGGUUUGAGUUAUAAACGAAAUUGGUGAAUUUCUUGCUUGAUAUUGUGACAAUGUAUUGUAAAUGACCAACUGCUAUUAGUCUUAAGCUUUGUCAGAUGCUUAUGGACCAACAACUUUAACUAUGAUGGUUGUGAAGAAAUAUGAGAAACCUCUACUUAGGUUUUUACUUUCUAUUGAUCCAUAAGCAUGUUCUCACAAUUGCAAAAUUGAUCAACUGCUAGUUAGUAUUUUCCAAAUAUGUUUUUUAACUUGCGUGUCUGUAUCAGAAUGCUCAUAGACUACUGUCUUCUAUAAGAGAAAUUCCCUCUGCAUUUAGAGCUAGGGUGUCAAAUGGGUGGGUUGGGUCAAUUUUGGGCGGAUCAAAAUGGGUUGAGUCAAUAAUUGACCCGCACAAAAGUUACUUGGGCUAAGAUGAGUUGGGUUAAGAUGGGUUAAAAUUCGGGUCAUAACCCAACCCGCCCAAUUCUUAUUAAACUUUAAUUAAUAUGUGUUAUUUUCUUAUAAAUUGUAUAAUUACUAAAUAAGUCUUUUUAGCUUUUGUUAUGGUCAUAUUUAAAAUAUUAAAUAAAAAAUAAAAUUAUUUCUAAGAUAUUUUGACAAACUUACUCAUGUAUCAAUUUGGCCUAAAAAAUAGCCCAACUUUAAAUGGGUUGAGAUGGGUUGGGUCAAGAUGGGCUAAGUUCAAUGAAUGAGUGGGUCAAUAACCAACCCAAACUUGGGCGGGUUGGGCGGAUCAUUUGGUUUUGGGCCAAAUUUGACAGCCCUACUUAAGAGCUCAGCAUUAUGCUUUAUUUGAUUUGUCAAUAUUUAACACAUUGACAGAUAUAUUGAGACAAUUUGUGAAUAGUUUACAAACCAAAAUAGCUGGUAAGAGUACCACAAUUGUUCAAGCCAUGCUUAGAUAAGGUUCCAGUCAUGCAUGAAUGAGGCAAGAUUUGCUUCUUCUGCGUAUACCCAUGAUUUACCAUUGCUAGUUACUCUUAUUCAUUUAAUGCUUGUUAUGAAUGUGAUUUAGAGUUAAAUGGAUAAGUUAAAAUAUUGUGGAUUGUGAUUCUUUGUUUUUUUUUCUUUUUUCGAUAGCUCUUAUUAUAUUGCUGUUGAUAAUACCUGCUCUCUUAUUAUCCUGUUAUAGUUACUGCUUGUUUCUUGCUGUUGGUAUUGCUGUUGUUACUGCUUUCUUUUCUUUCCUUGAGCUGAGGGUCUAUUGGAAACAGCCUCUCCACGCACAUACUACCUCCCCAGACCCCACUCGUGGUAUUAGAGUUUGUUAUUUUUGUUGUUGUUUUUCAAUAGCAAGGAUCAGGUUCUUCAAAAUGAGAAUAGAAGUCGACCAAGGAUAAGGUGGUGUUUGAAGACAGAGAAGACAUUUUAUGUACUUUUGAGUCAUAUUUGUAUAGAGUGAAGGGUAUCAUGAUAAAUUCAAUACUUUAUAGUAAUUAUAUAGACAUUUUAUUAGCAAUGAAAAGUUGUGAUACAGUUCUAUUUGGAAAAUGCACUUGGUGUGUCUAUUCCAUACUUCAAUCUCACAGUUAUUGCAUAAAAACGAGAAGUCAAUGCGUUUGAAGAACAUAUUCAAUAAUCUCAAUUAUUCCAAGAUUAAUAAGAAUAAAGUUACGUUGUUAUUAGGAAAUGCAAUGGACUUGCAAGAUUACUCCUUUAUGCACAAAUCACAGUUUUGACUUGAAA